Molecule: ribosomal RNA, 377 nt
Filed under: uncultured bacterium
Lineage: Bacteria
Description: bacterial SSU rRNA
Rfam family: Bacterial small subunit ribosomal RNA
Source: RNAcentral
GAUGAACGCUAGCGGCAGGCUUAAUACAUGCAAGUCGAGCGAAGUGGUAACACUUAGUGGCGCACGGGUGCGUAACACGUAUGCAACCUACCUAUCGUUGGGGGAUAACUUUGAGAAAUCAGGGCUAAUACCGCAUAAAACAGCGUUACUGCAUGGUAAUGCUGUUAAAGUUACGGCGACGAUAGAUGGGCAUGCGUCCGAUUAGGUAGUUGGCGAGGUAACGGCUCACCAAGCCGACGAUCGGUAGGGGAUCUGAGAGGAUAAUCCCCCACACUGGCACUGAGAUACGGGCCAGACUCCUACGGGAGGCAGCAGUAGGGAAUAUUGGACAAUGGGCGCAAGCCUGAUCCAACCAUGCCGCGUGAGUGAAGAAGGCC